UAGGGAAUCUUCGGCAAUGGACGAAAGUCUGACCGAGCAACGCCGCGUGAGUGAAGAAGGUUUUCGGAUCGUAAAACUCUGUUGUUAGAGAAGAACAAGGACGUUAGUAACUGAACGUCCCCUGACGGUAUCUAACCAGAAAGCCACGGCUAACUACGUGCCAGCAGCCGCGGUAAUACGUAGGUGGCAAGCGUUGUCCGGAUUUAUUGGGCGUAAAGCGAGCGCAGGCGGUUUCUUAAGUCUGAUGUGAAAGCCCCCGGCUCAACCGGGGAGGGUCAUUGGAAACUGGGAGACUUGAGUGCAGAAGAGGGGAGUGGAAGUCCAUGUGUAGGGGUGAAAUGCGUAGAUAUAUGGAGGAACGCCAGUGGCGAAGGCGGCUCUCUGGUCUGUAACUGACGGUCAGGUGCGAAAGCGUGGGGAGGAAACAGG
RNAcentral lists this ribosomal RNA (429 nucleotides) under Chloroflexota bacterium. RNAcentral's name for it is "Chloroflexi bacterium partial 16S ribosomal RNA". It matches the Rfam family "Bacterial small subunit ribosomal RNA", at positions 355 to 776 of the family's 1533-position model. Lineage: Bacteria; Bacillati; Chloroflexota. The record is from RNAcentral.